RNAcentral lists this long non-coding RNA (512 nucleotides) under Rattus norvegicus (Norway rat). RNAcentral describes it as "long non-coding RNA NONRATT017141". The record is from RNAcentral. Lineage: Eukaryota; Metazoa; Chordata; Mammalia; Rodentia; Muridae.
GCAGGGACAGCUCCCAGAGCUCUGAUGUGUCUCUCCCAGAUUGUAAAGCAUGAAGACAGCUGCCUGGAGUGGACUGAGUGACAGACGAUGUGUUCAGGUCUCUCCUGUGACACCCAGAGCCCUCAGUUCUCUUUAGACACCAGUGUCUGAAGUUCCCUGUGAUUCUAUGGCUUCUGUGUGAAGAACUGUGGAGCCCAGCCCGCCCUGCACACCUGGACCCUGUCCCUGCACUGCCUGUGUUCCCUACCAAGGCCAACCUUGCUGGUCCAGCCUAGGGUUCAGGGGUGGGGACAUCUGCAUCCUGUCCCUCCCUGCUACCCUGAGCUUGAGCUCCUCACUUCCACACUGAGAAUAAGAAUCUGAGUGUGAACUUGAUUGUUCACAUCCUUGACACAAGUGUGGAUGGCUUUUUAAAUUGCUGGAUGGAAUACUUAGAGGUUUUUUGUUUUGGGGUUUUGCUUUGUUUGGUUUUGUUUUUGAAAAAAAUAAAAGGCAGAUGGAGAAGCUUCCAG